Microcebus murinus (gray mouse lemur) is the source of this 2755-nucleotide non-coding RNA. Lineage: Eukaryota; Metazoa; Chordata; Mammalia; Primates; Cheirogaleidae. The record is from RefSeq and is a predicted model, not a curated record.
AGCAAGACUUUGUCUCUAAAAAUAAAAUUGCCAAGCUGAACUGAGAAAUCUGACCAGGGAUCUGAUUGUAACUCCAAAUGCACCCAGAGAAUAGCAGAGGAUUGAGUGGACAGGUGGUUACUUAAUAAGUAGAACUUGGGCCCACGAGGCAGAAAGUAAUCAAUAGCUCCAAUGAUGAGGAAGACAGGGUGCUGCUAAGACAUCAGGGACCGGAGACCUCUGAGUCGGGGAAGACUGACACAUAGGCUUAUAUCAAAAGGAAUUUUGAGGACCAAACUGUCAACACUUCUGCCCAGGUCCCAGGGGGGCAGUUCUUGGAAAGCAGUGAUGGAAAGUAGUUUGCAUCUUCAGGCCAAAUGGCUAAGCCAUCUUAUCCUUCCUGCAGCCCUCAGAGCUGCCCUGGGCAGAUGAAUAUAUCCUUUCCCACAAAGGCCCUCCCUUCUCUACUCAAACCUGAGCAGCAAGCCUCUCCUUGUAGGAAAACCCUCCCUAAGGGAAGUGGCAAGAGCACAGUAGCAAGACAUCUGUCUUGGUCCUUUUUAUUCUAUAUCAAGUAGGUAUUCAGUGAAUGUUUGUCAGAUAAAGGGCUGAAUAAACUAGGAAAAAUCUGGAAGCUCUUCAGCAUAGCACAGCACAGCCAUGGCUAAAAAAAAGUCUCCCCUAUUCCCCAUCACACACACUCACACACACACACACACACCUCUCCUCAUUCUUUCUCACAGCAGCUGGCAGGAAGAGAAUAGAUAAGUAAUGGUGUGGUUGUUUAAAGAAUAGACUUUGGAGUCAGACAGUCCUGGGAUUCAGACUUUGUUCCACUACUCACCAACUCCAGGCUCCUAAGAAAGUUACUUAACCUAAGUCUCAGUUUCCUCUUACAUAAAAUGGGUAUUAUAAUAAUACCUAUCUCAUAGGUUUUGUGGAUUAAAGUAUAAUACAUGUAAAGGGCCUAGAAUAGCUCCUGGCACACAGAAAGUAACUGUUAUACAGAUACAUCGGGAUUCAGUAAAAUGAAAACAGUAAAUAUCUUAAUUCUCCCCUCAUCUCCACUGUGUCCCUCCAAACCUUCCCUGUGGGCCUGCACUCUCUCUGCCCCUGUGUGAUUUUUGAUGCAGGUCUUUUAUCUCUGUUCUUUAAUAAAUGCUGGGUUCUGAGACCUACGACAUAAGGGCGGGCAGGCCAGUAACAAUCCAUGCUAAGAUGAAACUGACACAUGUGAGGUUGAGCAUGAGCAGGUCCAGAGGGCACAAGCAAGCUGCAGAGCAGGGACCCCAGACCCCAUGUCAUCUACAGCUGCUGCGCCAGAGCUGCUCCUCUGCUCCCAUGUGGGCUGUGUGAAGGAAUGCCUUCUAGCCAGGGAAUGGGAGGUAAAGCCCUGCUUUGACUUAUGGAUGGGUUGACUCAGUAUGACAUUACAGGCUAAAAGUGGACAGUGGCUGCACCAAAGGACAGUGGUGAGGGAAAAUCCUCCUAUUGGGGAAAGCACAGUCAUGCACUUUGUGUGAAGAGAGAAGUGUUUCAAGCUUAGCAUAUAGGUGGACUCAUGGGCAGUGGUUGAUGACUGGCUGGCUGGUCAACAGCCUGGGAAGAGCAAGAUUGAUCACAGGGUAGUGGCAGGUGAUGGACAUAUGAGAAUGGGCACAAAAUGUGAAGAUCUCUGGACAUGUUAAUGCCCACCAGAGAGCAUCCACCAUGGGAGAGGCACUAAACCAUUAAGUAAACAAAAUGACUCAGCCAGUUGACAUCAGCCAGCCUCUGUUGUUGGCUACCCUGGGAUGUUGGCACAAUGAAUGCAUAGAUGAAGAAGCCAUGAUGGCAGGGAUGGAUGGAAGUUACGCAUGGACCCAACAGCACAGAUUCCCACUCACCAAGGGUGAUCUAGCUACUGCUACUGCAGAAUGUUCAACCUACCAGUAACUUAGACCAGUCCUGAGCUCCAAUUAUGGCACCAUUCAUUGAGGAGAUCAACUGGUCCCUUGUUGGCAAGUUAAUUAUUUGGGGCCCUUUCCAUCCUAGAAGUUUCAGAAAUUCAUUUUGACAGUAAUAAAUCCAUAUUCUGGUUAUAGGUUUGCUUUUUCUACCUAAAGAGCUUUGGCUAGCACCACUAACUGAAGGUUUACAUAGUAUGUGAUCCACCAGCAUAGGAUCUCAUAUAAUAACUGCCAUGUCAGACCAAGGGACCUACUUUACAGCAAAGGAGGUGCAAGAGUAAGCCCAUGACAUGGGAUCCAUUGGUCAUAUCACAUACUACAGCACCCAGAAACUGCCAGCCUAAAAGAGAAAUUAAAUGUUGAAGACACAGCUGAAACACCAGAUCCACCUUCAGGACUGAAGGACCUAUUCCUCCAGCUGCUGGGAGUGCUGCCUGCAGACAGCCCUCAACUGUUAGUCUUGUUGGAGGAUUGCUGCGGCUAAAGAAAAAUUCCUUUGGCCAACACGUCCUGCCUCCUUCUAGGGACAGUUCACAUCCAAUGACUGAUCAACACUGGGAUAUAAAGAUCCGGCUCCCUUGCCCAAUAUCCAGAUAAUUUUGAAAGAGCAACCCAGCUCCAGAGCUCCCUACAGGAUUGGCUGAAGUCUUUGUUAGGACUGCAUCACAGUGUAGCUUCCCCCUCUGCACACAUCCUGCUUCCCUUCUCUUCCUUUUGUGUUGAUCCCAAGAACACUCUCUAAUAACCAUCGUGCAUGCUAAUCUUUGUCUCAGAAUCUCCUUCCUGGGGAACACAACCUAUAACAGUCAAUAAAUAAAAUAAGAUCA